RNAcentral lists this non-coding RNA (22 nucleotides) under Arabidopsis thaliana (thale cress). Lineage: Eukaryota; Viridiplantae; Streptophyta; Magnoliopsida; Brassicales; Brassicaceae. The record is from RNAcentral.
GUGAUUGCAAUGAGUAUGCCUA